AUUGAACGCUGGCGGCAGGCCUAACACAUGCAAGUCGAACGGUAACAGGAAACAGCUUGCUGUUUCGCUGACGAGUGGCGGACGGGUGAGUAAUGUCUGGGAAACUGCCUGAUGGAGGGGGAUAACUACUGGAAACGGUAGCUAAUACCGCAUAACGUCGCAAGACCAAAGAGGGGGACCUUCGGGCCUCUUGCCAUCGGAUGUGCCCAGAUGGGAUUAGCUAGUAGGUGGGGUAACGGCUCACCUAGGCGACGAUCCCUAGCUGGUCUGAGAGGAUGACCAGCCACACGGGAACUGAGACACGGUCCAGACUCCUACGGGAGGCAGCAGUGGGGAAUAUUGCACAAUGGGCGCAAGCCUGAUGCAGCCAUGCCGCGUGUAUGAAGAAGGCCUUCGGGUUGUAAAGUACUUUCAGCGGGGAGGAAGGGAGUAAAGUUAAUACCUUUGCUCAUUGACGUUACCCGCAGAAGAAGCACCGGCUAACUCCGUG
This 490-nucleotide ribosomal RNA is filed under the name uncultured bacterium. RNAcentral describes it as "partial 16S ribosomal RNA". It matches the Rfam family "Bacterial small subunit ribosomal RNA", at positions 30 to 507 of the family's 1533-position model. The record is from RNAcentral.